UGUUAAAAAUUUCGUCCGUUUCUAUUGUUAAAAACUGGUAACCAAUUUUUAACUAUAGAAAUAGAUGGAAUUUUUAACA
Molecule: microRNA precursor, 79 nt
Filed under: Gossypium raimondii (Peruvian cotton)
Lineage: Eukaryota; Viridiplantae; Streptophyta; Magnoliopsida; Malvales; Malvaceae
Description: MIR7502 microRNA precursor family
Rfam family: MIR7502 microRNA precursor family
Source: Rfam by way of RNAcentral